RNAcentral lists this ribosomal RNA (253 nucleotides) under uncultured bacterium. Its description in RNAcentral is "partial 16S ribosomal RNA". It matches the Rfam family "Bacterial small subunit ribosomal RNA", at positions 524 to 776 of the family's 1533-position model. The record is from RNAcentral.
GAAGGAGGUGGCAAGCGUUAUCCGGAAUUAUUGGGCGUAAAGGGUACGUAGGCGGCUGGUCACGUCUGGGGUCAAAGGCCACAGCUCAACUGUGGGUGGGCAAUGGAAACUGAACGGCUAGAGUGCGGUAGGGGUUGCGGGAAUUCCCGGUGUAGCUGUGAAAUGCGUAGAGAUCGGGACGAACACCUGUGGCGAAAGCGCGUGACUGGGCCUCAACUGACGCUGAGGUACGAAAGCUAGUGGAGCGAAUGGG